AACAACAGCCCGUCAGCAAUCUCAAAAAUAUCCAAGCUUCUCUCAGAUUGCUGAGACAGAGAGCUAUUCCGCUCCAUCAGACGUUCCAACCGAGCUUCAGCCGUCCGACCUGAACUCUCUGGCAAGUCGCGACAAUGGACAUCACUCCACUCUCUGUAACAAACUCCAUGUGGCCCCACCACUCUCUGGCAAGUCAUGAUAAUGGACACCACUCCACUCUCCAUAACAAACUCCACGUGGCCCCGAACGGCCCACUGACACCACUACUCUCCAUAACAAAUUCUACGUGGCCCCAAACGGCCCACUACCAGGC
RNAcentral lists this long non-coding RNA (313 nucleotides) under Elaeis guineensis (African oil palm). RNAcentral describes it as "long non-coding RNA (EGUI_LNC078742)". Lineage: Eukaryota; Viridiplantae; Streptophyta; Magnoliopsida; Arecales; Arecaceae. The record is from RNAcentral.